This 96-nucleotide transfer RNA is filed under the name Boletus reticuloceps. It matches the Rfam family "tRNA". From Rfam's summary of the family: Transfer RNA (tRNA) molecules are approximately 80 nucleotides in length. Their secondary structure includes four short double-helical elements and three loops (D, anti-codon, and T loops). Further hydrogen bonds mediate the characteristic L-shaped molecular structure. tRNAs have two regions of fundamental functional importance: the anti-codon, which is responsible for specific mRNA codon recognition, and the 3' end, to which the tRNAs corresponding amino acid is attached (by aminoacyl-tRNA synthetases). tRNAs cope with the degeneracy of the genetic code in two manners: having more than one tRNA (with a specific anti-codon) for a particular amino acid; and 'wobble' base-pairing, i.e. permitting non-standard base-pairing at the 3rd anti-codon position. Lineage: Eukaryota; Fungi; Basidiomycota; Agaricomycetes; Boletales; Boletaceae. The record is from Rfam by way of RNAcentral.
GGGUGCGUAGCGCAGUGGUAGCGCGUAUGCUUUGCAGCCUGCUCUGCAAUUGAGCAAACUUGUAUAAGGUCCAGGGUUCAAUCCCCUGCGCAUCCA